Molecule: non-coding RNA, 2995 nt
Organism: Solanum lycopersicum (tomato)
Lineage: Eukaryota; Viridiplantae; Streptophyta; Magnoliopsida; Solanales; Solanaceae
Source: RefSeq, a predicted model, not a curated record
UAAAAGAACACACGUGUAUUAACACUACACUUCAAUUGCUACCACGAGCUCUCUUUUCUGAGGAAACCUAUUUUUCUUUAUAUUCUGUGGGAUGUCGUUGCACUUCCACUUUCAAUUAUUCUUCUUUGUUCACCAUGUACUUAAUCAUCAACUCUUUAAUUUACAAAGAGCUAUUGCAUUUUGUUUGUUCCAAAUCGGUUUGCACUUUUGUAUCGCACCACCAAGAUUCAGCAACGAAAUUUUUGGGAGCAAAUGAUCAAAGACUCUUCUUCACUUGGUGACCAAUGAUCAUAUUAGCUAUUAUCAUCUUCCACACAGUAAAGAUGCAAGGUAUGAGAUCUUGAGUAUUGUUCACUACUACUGCAAAAAAAAAUUAUUUUAGUGUUUGGUAUGUUAUUUUACUUUUUCUUCAAAUUUAUUUGAAACAUUGUAGACUGCAAAAAUAGUCUAUUGUGCAAUGAUUUUCAGCGUCUUAAAAAAAAAGUUGAAAAACUGACUUACUUUGUCCUCUAAAAUUAUUAGUCUUUUUUCUUAAUUCAUUUAGACUUAGAAGAAAAUACACUAGGGAGACUAAUUAAUGUUAAAAAUAUUAGUGAAGUUAUGAAUUAUACAUACAACUUUUCUUAGCCUUUUUGUUUUGUCACUCUUUCAUAGUAUGCAUUUAUCUUCUUUCCAACUUUUCUUUGAAAUUAGAAUUUUUAUAGUAUAAAAUAAUCUGUUUUUUAUUUUUGGAAGUAGUCUAUAAGAAUCUCCUGUACCGUUGAACUUUGUUUAAGGUUCCUAUAGCCGAAUUUCUUCGUGAAAGAAAUUGUUACCUAUUGAAUAUCCAGCGAGGUGCAAAUAUAGCAUGUGCCUAAGAGGGCAUCAAUCAAAUCCUCACUAAAAAUAUUAUCGUUAUCGCUUGCCAUCAAUGUCUGACAAUUAUCACAUUUAAUUUCGAUAUAAAAAUGGCAAUGCUCUUAAACAUAAGUGAAGUUAAUAAUUUGUUAUAGUUGACGAAAUCUGAUGAGAAAACAUUCUUCCAUAUUCAAUAUUUGGUAUUUCAGAUUUGGAUGAUAAAUGCUCGCUAAGAUUAAGUACUCGUGGUGAGUUUGAAUUUUCUUCUCUGUUUUAUGAUCAAUUCAGAUAGAAGAGUUAAUACCGUUGAUUCCUGUGACUUUAGAUAGUUCAUGCAUUAUUAUUUUAUAAAGUUUAAUUAGUUUUUAACACCAAAUAUCAUUCUAUCAAAUAAUGAAGGUCAAAAUGUGGUUAAUGCAUCUUUUAUAUUCUAUCUCAAUCUGUUUUUUUAAUUGUAGUUUCAUAAGCAUGACAUUCUAAAAAUGCAUACUAAUUCAGCGGUAGGUAUAGUGACUUAGUUGAAAAGGUUAUUUUUCAAAACACUACACAGCUGGUUAACCUUGGAUGAAAAACUCUUUCAUUACAUGUAUGUGUGUACGGCAUACGUAUUUAUAUAUGUGUACACUUAUCUCAAUUUAACAAAUUGGAGAUCUUGUGGUUAUUUAAUGUACUCUUGCAUCUAACAUUCACAACUAUGUUCCUUAUUCCUUUCUUCAUUAACUUUUAUCAGUGGUCCACCCUUUUUGUACUCAGAGGAGAAGAUUAUAGACUCACAUACAUUAAGAAGAUUUUUAUUGAGGAGUGGAGGAAUGUCUUAGGAAAGAAAUAUGUUCUUGAAUCAUAUGAAAAUAUCACAAGAGAGAUCUCCAAACCUAGAACCAAAAUAAAAUGAGAGUAAAUUAUUGCUUCUUAGAUGGACUGUAAGAGGGGUAAAUUACCACUGAUACUUUAGCUAAAGAAAAAACUUCGAAUUGGCAAUCUGAAAAAUGAAAUGACAAUUUCGAAAAUAAUAUAGUAGUGGUAUAGAUGCACAAAAUAGUUCUAUCUUCUCUAUUUCAUGAUUGUGCAAGAACACCGUGAAAGUUCGAUCCAUGUUGUGUCAUUGUGGUUUCUGUUUGAUCACUCGAGGUGAAGUCAAUGCAGCAAGUUCUCUCGCUCCAAAAUCAGUGAAGGCCUUGCAAGGAAAUCUACAAAGGACUUGAAGGGUCUCCGAGUCACCAUCCAAAAGUCAUCUAUUUUUGGUAUUAUAAAAAUUGAUUUGUUUACAUGCGGUGGUUAAAUUUUUAAUUUCUAUGAAAAUAAUACCUUCGAUUCUAUAUUUCUUAGAGGUUCGUGAUUUAGACAUCUUUAUCUAUAAGGAUUUGAGUCUUUCUUUUCUUAUUUUUAAAUAAUGUUUUACAUUUAUACUUUUUCGAUAUGUAUUGAUGAAUGAAACAUGUAUUUUUUGGUCUCUAAGUAUUUACUUAUUGAAGAUGCUUCACAUGAAAUCUGUGAAGCAAAUAUAUAAUGGAUCUUCACUUGUAUUAAAAGUUAAUGUGAUCUUGUGUAACUUUUGAUAAAAAAAAAUUUGUUCAUGUCCAAAUGAGUAUAAUAUAUCAAUUUCCAAAUUAUAUCUAACUUCCCACAUUAUAUUUAACUUAAUGUAUGGUGUCUCAGUUAUAGAUUUACUAAUGAGCUUACUGUGAAAUAUGUGAUUUGAUGAUACCGCAGAUAUAUAGAUGCGAGAAACAAAUGGCUAGGUGUUAUGGGAUGGAGCUUCGUUGAUUCAAGCUAAACUAAUAGAAAGAAGAAGGAAAAGGGGAUCUUACAGGAACGACCAUGAUAUCACAAAUUUAAAGACAGUCUUAUUUUUGGUAUUCUAUGCGAGUGAUGAUUCACCAAACUCGAAGGCAAAAGUGAGAUAAAUUUGCAUAGAGUUGAGUAAUGUCAAGUUCUCCAAGGACUUACUUUAUUAGGGAAUGCAAGUUCAUAAAGGAAUUGAAGAGGAUGAGGAAGAUGACAAUGGCAGCAGAUUUUGGAGAGCUCCUUCUGUUAAUAGUUUUCAAGGAGAUGAGAUGUAUUAUGAUUUUCUUGGCCUGACUAAAGUAUUGGGAAAUAAUCGAUUAUGUAUUUGACUCUGUAUCUAUAUGAUUAUAUGCAAUGUAGAGCUUAUAAAUUU